Erpetoichthys calabaricus (reedfish) is the source of this 244-nucleotide long non-coding RNA. RefSeq lists it as uncharacterized. The transcript is spliced from 2 exons. NCBI's taxonomy places the organism in Eukaryota, Metazoa, Chordata, Cladistia, Polypteriformes, Polypteridae. The record is from RefSeq and is a predicted model, not a curated record.
UAAAACUCACUGUAUAAAUUAAUAUAUUAAACACUUCUUGAUCUGUUCAUACUAUUGUAGGCAUAAUUUGAAUUACAGUAUAAAUGUAGUCCCCCCACCCCCAAAAGAGUAUUGGCAAUUUAGCUGAUACAUGAAAAUGUGCUGAAUACUGUCACAUUGUUUCAUACAAAAAUACUUUUGCAUAAUGCAUGAGAUUUGUUUUGUAAUAAAACAUUAUUAAACAAGGUUUAAAAAAAAAUAAUAA